This 2338-nucleotide ribosomal RNA is filed under the name Campylobacter jejuni. RNAcentral describes it as "partial 23S ribosomal RNA". It matches the Rfam family "Bacterial large subunit ribosomal RNA", at positions 1 to 2343 of the family's 2925-position model. The record is from RNAcentral. Lineage: Bacteria; Pseudomonadati; Campylobacterota; Epsilonproteobacteria; Campylobacterales; Campylobacteraceae.
AGGUAAGCUACUAAGAGCGAAUGGUGGAUGCCUUGACUGGUAAAGGCGAUGAAGGACGUACUAGACUGCGAUAAGCUACGGGGAGCUGUCAAGAAGCUUUGAUCCGUAGAUUUCCGAAUGGGGCAACCCAAUGUAUAGAGAUAUACAUUACCUAUAUAGGAGCGAACGAGGGGAAUUGAAACAUCUUAGUACCCUCAGGAAAAGAAAUCAAUAGAGAUUGCGUCAGUAGCGGCGAGCGAAAGCGCAAGAGGGCAAACCCAGUGCUUGCACUGGGGGUUGUAGGACUGCAAUGUGCAAGAGGUAAGUUUAGCAGAACAUUCUGGAAAGUAUAACCAUAGAGGGUGAUAGUCCCGUAUGCGAAAAACAAACCUUAGCUAGCAGUAUCCUGAGUAGGGCGGGACACGAGGAAUCCUGUCUGAAUCCGGGUCGACCACGAUCCAACCCUAAAUACUAAUACCAGAUCGAUAGUGCACAAGUACCGUGAGGGAAAGGUGAAAAGAACUGAGGUGAUCAGAGUGAAAUAGAACCUGAAACCAUUUGCUUACAAUCAUUCAGAGCCCUAUGUAGCAAUACAGGGUGAUGGACUGCCUUUUGCAUAAUGAGCCUGCGAGUUGUGGUGUCUGGCAAGGUUAAGCAAACGCGAAGCCGUAGCGAAAGCGAGUCUGAAUAGGGCGCUUAGUCAGAUGCUGCAGACCCGAAACGAAGUGAUCUAUCCAUGAGCAAGUUGAAGCUAGUGUAAGAACUAGUGGAGGACUGAACCCAUAGGCGUUGAAAAGCCCCGGGAUGACUUGUGGAUAGGGGUGAAAGGCCAAUCAAACUUCGUGAUAGCUGGUUCUCUCCGAAAUAUAUUUAGGUAUAGCGUUGUGUCGUAAUAUAAGGGGGUAGAGCACUGAAUGGGCUAGGGCAUACACCAAUGUACCAAACCCUAUCAAACUCCGAAUACCUUAUAUGUAAUCACAGCAGUCAGGCGGCGAGUGAUAAAAUCCGUCGUCAAGAGGGAAACAACCCAGACUACCAGCUAAGGUCCCUAAAUCUUACUUAAGUGGAAAACGAUGUGAAGUUACUUAAACAACCAGGAGGUUGGCUUAGAAGCAGCCAUCCUUUAAAGAAAGCGUAAUAGCUCACUGGUCUAGUGAUUUUGCGCGGAAAAUAUAACGGGGCUAAAGUAAGUACCGAAGCUGUAGACUUAGUUUACUAAGUGGUAGGAGAGCGUUCUAUUUGCGUCGAAGGUAUACCGGUAAGGAGUGCUGGAGCGAAUAGAAGUGAGCAUGCAGGCAUGAGUAGCGAUAAUUAAUGUGAGAAUCAUUAACGCCGUAAACCCAAGGUUUCCUACGCGAUGCUCGUCAUCGUAGGGUUAGUCGGGUCCUAAGUCGAGUCCGAAAGGGGUAGACGAUGGCAAAUUGGUUAAUAUUCCAAUACCAACAUUAGUGUGCGAUGGAAGGACGCUUAGGGCUAAGGGGGCUAGCGGAUGGAAGUGCUAGUCUAAGGUCGUAGGAGGUUAUAUAGGCAAAUCCGUAUAACAAUACUCCGAGAACUGAAAGGCUUUUUGAAGUCUUCGGAUGGAUAGAAGAACCCCUGAUGCCGUCGAGCCAAGAAAAGUUUCUAAGUUUAGCUAAUGUUGCCCGUACCGUAAACCGACACAGGUGGGUGGGAUGAGUAUUCUAAGGCGCGUGGAAGAACUCUCUUUAAGGAACUCUGCAAAAUAGCACCGUAUCUUCGGUAUAAGGUGUGGUUAGCUUUGUAUUAGGAUUUACUCCGAAAGCAAGGAAACUUACAACAAAGAGUCCCUCCCGACUGUUUACCAAAAACACAGCACUCUGCUAACUCGUAAGAGGAUGUAUAGGGUGUGACGCCUGCCCGGUGCUCGAAGGUUAAUUGAUGGGGUUAGCAUUAGCGAAGCUCUUGAUCGAAGCCCGAGUAAACGGCGGCCGUAACUAUAACGGUCCUAAGGUAGCGAAAUUCCUUGUCGGUUAAAUACCGACCUGCAUGAAUGGCGUAACGAGAUGGGAGCUGUCUCAAAGAGGGAUCCAGUGAAAUUGUAGUGGAGGUGAAAAUUCCUCCUACCCGCGGCAAGACGGAAAGACCCCGUGGACCUUUACUACAGCUUGACACUGCUACUUGGAUAAGAAUGUGCAGGAUAGGUGGGAGGCUUUGAGUAUAUGACGCCAGUUGUAUAUGAGCCAUUGUUGAGAUACCACUCUUUCUUAUUUGGGUAGCUAACCAGCUUGAGUUAUCCUCAAGUGGGACAAUGUCUGGUGGGUAGUUUGACUGGGGCGGUCGCCUCCCAAAUAAUAACGGAGGCUUACAAAGGUUGGCUCAGAACGGUUGGAAAUCGUUC